Molecule: ribosomal RNA, 497 nt
Filed under: uncultured bacterium
Lineage: Bacteria
Description: partial 16S ribosomal RNA
Rfam family: Bacterial small subunit ribosomal RNA
Source: RNAcentral
GAUGAACGCUGGCGGCGUGCCUAAUACAUGCAAGUCGAGCGAACAGACGAGGAGCUUGCUCCUCUGACGUUAGCGGCGGACGGGUGAGUAACACGUGGAUAACCUACCUAUAAGACUGGGAUAACUUCGGGAAACCGGAGCUAAUACCGGAUAACAUGUUGAACCGCAUGGUUUAACAGUGAAAGACGGUCUUGCUGUCACUUAUAGAUGGAUCCGCGCCGCAUUAGCUAGUUGGUAAGGUAACGGCUUACCAAGGCAACGAUGCGUAGCCGACCUGAGAGGGUGAUCGGCCACACUGGAACUGAGACACGGUCCAGACUCGUACGGGAGGCAGCAGUAGGGAAUCUUCCGCAAUGGGCGAAAGCCUGACGGAGCAACGCCGCGUGAGUGAAGAAGGUCUUCGGAUCGUAAAACUCUGUUAUUAGGGAAGAACAAAUGUGUAAGUAACUAUGCACGUCUUGACGGUACCUAAUCAGAAAGCCACGGCUAACUACGUG